RNAcentral lists this long non-coding RNA (616 nucleotides) under Trifolium pratense (red clover). RNAcentral's name for it is "long non-coding RNA (TPRA_LNC010192)". Lineage: Eukaryota; Viridiplantae; Streptophyta; Magnoliopsida; Fabales; Fabaceae. The record is from RNAcentral.
AGCAUGCUUGUCUGCACACUUCAUCCAAAGGAAAAGUAAAAAUAAUUUUAUAAAGUAAAAAAAUCAACCAUUAACCAUUCAAAUAAUCCAAUAAUACUCUCCCUCUCUAUCUACUAUGUCCAUAUCUCUCCACUGUUUUGCUGAAGCAGCUGAAAAAAGCACAUAACAACAAAAUAGGUUCCUCCCAUCCAAAGAGAUCUGUUUUUCCUUUUUCUUCUCUUUCUGGUUUUUUUCACAGCCUUUUAAAAAUCCUUCAACUUUUGUUUCUUUUUGAGAAUUUCCAUUUGAGUCCUUCUCAAUUCUCAUAUUUUCCUUCAGUUACUUUUGAUUCUACUAUUCCAUCACUGCCUCACCUAGUUAUUACAGUAUCUUCUAAAUUUCUAUUCAGUCUUUACUUCAACUAUUAUUCAAUUUCUUUUUUCUUUUUUUCCCAGAAAACAACCCUUUGAUUUCCUAGGAAUAAAUCCACAAAUUUUGUCAAAAACCCAUGAAUAAAAAGUCACCUUUUAGCUUUAUAUGCAAAACCCAGUAAUAAAAAAGCAUUCUUUACCUUCAUAUUGGUUACAAAGUUAGUAAAGUUUUGAUUUUUAAGUUGUUCUUGAUAUCUAGCUAUCUG